GUUGGGCAUGGUAGUACACACCUGUAGUGCCAGUUACUCGGGAGGCCAAGAGAGGAUGUUCGCACAGAGCCCAGCAGUUUUGGGAUACGGUGCGCUAUGCUGAUUGGGUGACCACAUUAAGUUUGGCUUCAAUAUGGUGACCUCUCAGGCACAAAGGACCACCAGGUUGUCUAAGGAAAGGUGAACCCAGGCUGGAAACAGCAGAUCAAAAUUCCCAUGCUAAUCAGUAGUGGGAUUGUGCCUGUGAAUAGACAGGCACCCCAGCCUGUAAAACAGUGAGACUCAUCUCUUA
This 292-nucleotide signal recognition particle RNA is filed under the name Cebus imitator (Panamanian white-faced capuchin). RNAcentral describes it as "Metazoan signal recognition particle RNA (ENSCCAG00000006657.1)". It matches the Rfam family "Metazoan signal recognition particle RNA". From Rfam's summary of the family: The signal recognition particle (SRP) is a universally conserved ribonucleoprotein. It is involved in the co-translational targeting of proteins to membranes. Lineage: Eukaryota; Metazoa; Chordata; Mammalia; Primates; Cebidae. The record is from Rfam by way of RNAcentral.